UAUUUUUAUUUGUUAAUGUCAUUUUCCAGUUUAUUAAAAAGAUGUCUUGUGGGCUGGAGAGAUGGCUCAGCCGUUAAAGGCUAGGCUCACAACCAAAAUAAA
RNAcentral lists this microRNA precursor (102 nucleotides) under Cricetulus griseus (Chinese hamster). RNAcentral describes it as "miRNA (ENSCGRG00001007260.1)". Lineage: Eukaryota; Metazoa; Chordata; Mammalia; Rodentia; Cricetidae. The record is from RNAcentral.